This is a non-coding RNA of Oryzias latipes (Japanese medaka), 1693 nucleotides long. The record is from RefSeq and is a predicted model, not a curated record. NCBI's taxonomy places the organism in Eukaryota, Metazoa, Chordata, Actinopteri, Beloniformes, Adrianichthyidae.
UGUUCACCUGUGUCUUGUCAGUGAUAUUUGUAUUUAAGUCUUGUCUCUGCCUUCCUCUUGUGCUGGUCCAUUACCGUCUCUUCCCUGUCCAUCUUCCCACAGUAAGCCCACUGUUAGUUUGGGUUUUGUUACCCUGCUCUGCAGCACUAAGUUAAUAAACCCCUUGCCCUGGAACCGUGUGCCUCCCGUCUCUGCAUUGCGGGUCUUUCAUGGUCACCAGCCCUCCCUACCUGACACAUAUGGCUUUGAACGAUAUGCAACACAUCACCAACGCAACACAGAAUCACAGAAUGAGCUGAUUUACAUUACCACUGUAAAGUGUUGUAUAUCAGCACAAGUGUUAUGGUGCCGCCAGGGUUCCCCUCCUCCCCCUUCUCUGCAGAUUGGAUCCAGCUGUCGGCAUUCUCCUCAUCACACGCACCUGUAUUUAAGAUGGCUCCGGUUCACUACUCAUCGCCAGCUCGUUGCCCUCUAUGGGAUCACGCUACCUCUGGUGCCGACCUGGAUCUAAUCAUUAGAUCCUCUGCCUCAAGUCCUCAAGAUUCCAAGCCACGAUCUCACUCAGACUUCUUCCAGCAACCACGUCAAGCCUGUUCGCCCAACACCGCGACUCGUAAGCCACAUCACCCCCGAAGAAGGAUCCUCCGAAGAAACUCACCUCUCUCUAUGCCUUACGCCUCCGGUGACGGCUCCUCAGCCAGCCUCUCGACUGAUCCAUAGACUCUGAAUUAAAUCCCUUAACUCCUCUUCCAGUGUUUGUCUUUCCGGGUUUCAGCACUUGGGUCUGUUCGCAUCCUAGCCAAGCAUGACAACAAGGCUGUUUUAUUACGUUGACUCCAUAAAAGGUUCCAGAGUUACUGUAGUUAUGGUGAACUAAAAUAGUAUUUCUGUUUUCAAACUUGAUUCCAUUUAUUACUAGGUCAAAAAUGCUGGUUUCAGGCCCCCCCCUGACCUUUUUGCUUUUGACUAACAGAUUAGAAUAAAAAUUUGUUGAUCCCUAGCAGGAAAGUCCAACUGCCCAGUGGCUUAAGCAAUAAAAGAUAAAUAAAUAAGUUGAUAUAAUUGUUUGAAUAAAGCGCAGUUGAAUACUAAAUGUGUUCAGUCAAUCCGAAUCCGGAGCCGUCCGAUUCUGCUGAUCAGCAGCGAGUUUUCAUAGCUGGAAAACAAGCAGUGGUAAGUCUCAAGACCUGCGGUUAGGCAGCCCUGAUGUGGGCAAAUAAAACAAGAUGAUUAUGGGUUUGGGAACCAUUCUCCUUUAAAAUCUCCUAAAUGUACAGCGUGUUUAACAAAAUCACCUUCUAAAAACUUAUUGUUCGUUUUACUAUGACACUGUUCUGGUGCCCCCUUUGUCCUCAUCUUUACCUUUUUUUCUGUCCCUAAACUGUCCCAGUUUCCAGCACUUAACCUCUUAUGACAAACCACAAAAGUGUUUCCUCCCUCAUAAAAACUGCAGAAAGGGAUAAGGCAGGAGGACUUCUGCUGUGGCGUCUCCCCUGGGACUAUGGCCGGCAACCAGACUGCUGUGGUCAAAGCCAGGGCAUAACAGACGACAAGGGAGACAAGCAAUCCAGACAGAGGGGGGAAGAAACACUUGGGACAAAGCCCCGUACAGUACCCCUCUGAACUCUCAGUUAAACUUUUAAACUUUAAUGUUUAGGUUAAUCAGUCUCCGAAAAAAGAGAAGAAAAAAAAA